RNAcentral lists this ribosomal RNA (1076 nucleotides) under fungal sp. HS43 LX-2016. RNAcentral describes it as "SSU rRNA". It matches the Rfam family "Eukaryotic small subunit ribosomal RNA", at positions 64 to 1116 of the family's 1831-position model. The record is from RNAcentral. Lineage: Eukaryota; Fungi.
UGAAGAGAGGAGCAAGGUAGAGCACUAUACGGUGAAACUGCGAAUGGCUCAUUAAAUCAGUUAUCGUUUAUUUGAUAGUACCUUACUACAUGGAUAACCGUGGUAAUUCUAGAGCUAAUACAUGCUAAAAACCCCGACUCACGAAGGGGUGUAUUUAUUAGAUUAAAAACCAAUGCCCUUCGGGGCUCUAUGGUGAAUCAUAAUAACUUAACGAAUCGCAUGGCCUUGCGCCGGCGAUGGUUCAUUCAAAUUUCUGCCCUAUCAACUUUCGAUUGUAGGAUAGAGGCCUACAAUGGUAUCAACGGGUAACGGGGAAUUAGGGUUCGAUUCCGGAGAGGGAGCCUGAGAAACGGCUACCACAUCCAAGGAAGGCAGCAGGCGCGCAAAUUACCCAAUCCCGACACGGGGAGGUAGUGACAAUAAAUACUGAUACAGGGCUCUUUUGGGUCUUGUAAUUGGAAUGAGUACAAUCUAAAUCCCUUAACGAGGAACAAUUGGAGGGCAAGUCUGGUGCCAGCAGCCGCGGUAAUUCCAGCUCCAAUAGCGUAUAUUAAAGUUGUUGCAGUUAAAAAGCUCGUAGUUGAACCUUGGGCCUGGCUGGCCGGUCCGCCUCACCGCGUGCACUGGUUCGGCCGGGCCUUUCCUUCUGGGGAACCGCAUGCCCUUAACUGGGCGUGUGUGGGAUCCAGGACUUUUACUUUGAAAAAAUUAGAGUGUUCAAAGCAGGCCUUCGCUCGAAUACAUUAGCAUGGAAUAAUAGAAUAGGACGUUGGUUCUAUUUUGUUGGUUUCUAGAACCGCGUAAUGAUUAAUAGGGAUAGUCGGGGCCAUCCGUAUUCAAUUGUCAGAGGUGAAAUUCUUGGAUUUAUUGAAGACGAACUACUGCGAAAGCAUUUGGCAAGGAUGUUUUCAUUAAUCAGUGAACGAAAGUUAGGGGAUCGAAGACGAUCAGAUACCGUCGUAGUCUUAACCAUAAACUAUGCCGACUAGGGAUCGGACGGUGUUAUUAUUUUGACCCGUUCGGCACCUUACGAGAAAUCAAAGUCUUGGGUCUGUGAUGAGAAUGCAGUCACACGG